This 449-nucleotide ribosomal RNA is filed under the name uncultured bacterium. RNAcentral's name for it is "partial 16S ribosomal RNA". It matches the Rfam family "Bacterial small subunit ribosomal RNA", at positions 29 to 523 of the family's 1533-position model. The record is from RNAcentral.
AACGAACGCUGGCGGCAUGCCUAACACAUGCAAGUCGAACGAGAUCUUCGGGUCUAGUGGCGCACGGGUGCGUAACGCGUGGGAAUCUGCCCUUUGGUUCGGAAUAACAGUUGGAAACGACUGCUAAUACCGGAUGAUGACGAAAGUCCAAAGAUUUAUCGCCAGAGGAUGAGCCCGCGUAGGAUUAGCUAGUUGGUGUGGUAAAGGCGCACCAAGGCGACGAUCCUUAGCUGGUCUGAGAGGAUGAUCAGCCACACUGGGACUGAGACACGGCCCAGACUCCUACGGGAGGCAGCAGUGGGGAAUAUUGGACAAUGGGCGAGAGCCUGAUCCAGCAAUGCCGCGUGAGUGAUGAAGGCCUUAGGGUUGUAAGGCUCUUUUACCCGGGAUGAUAAUGACAGUACCGGGAGAAUAAGCUCCGGCUAACUCCGCGCCAGCCGCCGCCGUAA